CUUAUUCUUAUAGAGAGGUAUCAUGGUGCUCCACCUCCAAGCCUCGGGCAUCUUUGCCGUCUUGAAGAUUUCAUUAAACAAUCCCGUCAACCACCUCAGACCAGCCUCUCCAACGAACUUCCAAAACUCGACCGGUAUCUCAUCCGGCCCCGUCGCCCUACCCCUUCGCAUUCUGCGAACAGCCUGUCUAACCUCUUCUACCUUAAAACGUCUACAAUAGCUAAAACCCCGACACUCCUCUGAGGGCUCCAGUUCCCCUAACACAACAGCUCUAUCCCCUUCGUCAUUCAAGAGCCUAUGAAAGUACGACGGCCAUCUAUUCUUAAUGUGGCCAUCUUCCACCAACACUCUACCGUCCUCCCCCUUAAUGCACCUCACCUGAUCGAGGUCACGACCCUUCCUCUCCCUAGCCUUAGCGAGUCUAAACAACUUUUUCUCCCCUCCCUUCCCCUGCAACCCUGCAUACAAGCUCUCAAAGGCGG
This 482-nucleotide long non-coding RNA is filed under the name Capsicum annuum. RNAcentral's name for it is "long non-coding RNA (CANN_LNC002047)". Lineage: Eukaryota; Viridiplantae; Streptophyta; Magnoliopsida; Solanales; Solanaceae. The record is from RNAcentral.